CAGGGAGACAAAAAAACGACCAUGAUGUCUGAGAUAUUUUACUUAGUCCAUGGUCCUGUCACCUUAGGUCGAUCGGUACCUCAAGUUGAAAACCAAAAUAGAUUGAGCAAUCAUUUCUUACUAUUGGUAAUUAAUUUCAGUUCCUAAACUUGUCUAGGUCACACCCAAUAAGGGUUCUCCUGGGCCAUUAGCUCAGGUGGUUAGAGCGCACCCCUGAUAAGGGUGAGGUCCCUGGUUCAAGUCCAGGAUGGCCCAUUCGUUGUAGGGGGUAUAGCUCAGUUGGUAGAGCGCCUGCUUUGCAAGCAGGAUGUCAGCGGUUCGAGUCCGCUUACCUCCACUGACCCACCUCCUAAUAGUCAACUUAAGGGAGACUUUCAUUUGGAAGUGACUUAGUUUUUGUUUAAUCUGAUAGAACCUAGCUUCUUAUCAUUCCUAAAAACCAUUUAUUUAAAUAAUAGAUUUGGUUGAUAAGAUGCUGGGCUCACUGCAAGAUAAAAUUUGCAAGUGUGUUCAGUAGAACCUUGACAACUGCAUAGAUAAGUCUGGAAAGAAUAAAGCAUCUCAUGGAUGCAUUUUCUUUAAACUUUUUAUUCUUUUUAGGAAUAAAUUCUUUUAGAGAAAAAUGUUAAAUUCUUGAGCAAGAGUUUAGAUCUAUUAGUUUUUUUCUUUAAUUUUUUGGAUUAAAGAAAAUAAAAUUAAUAGAUAAAU
This 708-nucleotide transfer RNA is filed under the name uncultured cyanobacterium. RNAcentral describes it as "partial 16S-23S ribosomal RNA intergenic spacer". The stretch from base 265 to 337 matches the Rfam family "tRNA". Lineage: Bacteria; Bacillati; Cyanobacteriota. The record is from RNAcentral.